RNAcentral lists this ribosomal RNA (485 nucleotides) under uncultured bacterium. RNAcentral describes it as "partial 16S ribosomal RNA". It matches the Rfam family "Bacterial small subunit ribosomal RNA", at positions 28 to 507 of the family's 1533-position model. The record is from RNAcentral.
GAUGAACGCUGGCGGCGUGCUUAACACAUGCAAGUCGAACGGGAUCCAAGGGGUGCUUGCACUUUUUGGUGAGAGUGGCGAACGGGUGAGUAACACGUGAGUAACCUGUCCUUUUCUUUGGGAUAAGCAUUCGAAAGGGUGUUUAAUACCUUAUGUUCUGUCUGCCUCGCAUGGGGUGGGUGGGAAAGGCUUUGGCCGGAUUUGGGUGGGCUCGCGGUCUAUCCGCUUGUUGGUGGGGUGAUGGCUUACCAAGGCUUUGACGGGUAGCCGGCCUGAGAGGGUGGUCGGUCACAUUGGGACUGAGAUACGGCCCAGACUCCUGCGGGAGGCAGCAGUGGGGGAUAUUGCACAAUGGGCGAAAGCCUGAUGCAGCGACGCCGCGUGGGGGAUGAAGGCCUUCGGGUUGUAAACUUCUUUUGCUCUGAACAAGGCAUGCCAGUGGGUGUGUUGAGUGUAGGGGUUGAUUAGCGCCGGCUAACUACGUG